UCAUGUUAUCGAUAUGUGAAUACAUAGCAUAUCAGAAGGCACACCCGGAGAACUGAAACAUCUUAGUACCCGGAGGAAGAGAAAGAAAAUUCGAUUCCCUUAGUAGCGGCGAGCGAAACGGGAAGAGCCCAAACCAACAAGCUUGCUUGUUGGGGUUGUAGGACACUCUAUACGGAGUUACAAAGGACGACAUUAGACGAAUCAUCUGGAAAGAUGAAUCAAAGAAGGUAAUAAUCCUGUAGUCGAAAAUGUUGUCUCUCUUGAGUGGAUCCUGAGUACGACGGAGCACGUGAAAUUCCGUCGGAAUCUGGGAGGACCAUCUCCUAAGGCUAAAUACUCUCUAGUGACCGAUAGUGAACCAGUACCGUGAGGGAAAGGUGAAAAGCACCCCGGAAGGGGAGUGAAACAGAACCUGAAACCGUGUGCUUACAAGUAGUCAGAGCCCGUUAAUGGGUGAUGGCGUGCCUUUUGUAGAAUGAACCGGCGAGUUACGAUUUGAUGCAAGGUUAAGCAGUAAAUGUGGAGCCGUAGCGAAAGCGAGUCUGAAUAGGGCGUUUAGUAUUUGGUCGUAGACCCGAAACCAGGUGAUCUACCCUUGGUCAGGUUGAAGUUCAGGUAACACUGAAUGGAGGACCGAACCGACUUACGUUGAAAAGUGAGCGGAUGAACUGAGGGUAGCGGAGAAAUUCCAAUCGAACCUGGAGAUAGCUGGUUCUCUCCGAAAUAGCUUUAGGGCUAGCCUCAAGUGAUGAUUAUUGGAGGUAGAGCACUGUUUGGACGAGGGGCCCCUCUCGGGUUACCGAAUUCAGACAAACUCCGAAUGCCAAUUAAUUUAACUUGGGAGUCAGAACAUGGGUGAUAAGGUCCGUGUUCGAAAGGGAAACAGCCCAGACCACCAGCUAAGGUCCCAAAAUAUAUGUUAAGUGGAAAAGGAUGUGGCGUUGCCCAGACAACUAGGAUGUUGGCUUAGAAGCAGCCAUCAUUUAAAGAGUGCGUAAUAGCUCACUAGUCGAGUGACACUGCGCCGAAAAUGUACCGGGGCUAAACAUAUUACCGAAGCUGUGGAUUGUCCUUUGGACAAUGGUAGGAGAGCGUUCUAAGGGCGUUGAAGCAUGAUCGUAAGGACAUGUGGAGCGCUUAGAAGUGAGAAUGCCGGUGUGAGUAGCGAAAGACGGGUGAGAAUCCCGUCCACCGAUUGACUAAGGUUUCCAGAGGAAGGCUCGUCCGCUCUGGGUUAGUCGGGUCCUAAGCUGAGGCCGACAGGCGUAGGCGAUGGAUAACAGGUUGAUAUUCCUGUACCACCUAUAAUCGUUUUAAUCGAUGGGGGGACGCAGUAGGAUAGGCGAAGCGUGCGAUUGGAUUGCACGUCUAAGCAGUAAGGCUGAGUAUUAGGCAAAUCCGGUACUCAUUAAGGCUGAGCUGUGAUGGGGAGAAGACAUUGUGUCUUCGAGUCGUUGAUUUCACACUGCCGAGAAAAGCCUCUAGAUAGAAAAUAGGUGCCCGUACCGCAAACCGACACAGGUAGUCAAGAUGAGAAUUCUAAGGUGAGCGAGCGAACUCUCGUUAAGGAACUCGGCAAAAUGACCCCGUAACUUCGGGAGAAGGGGUGCUCUUUAGGGUUAACGCCCAGAAGAGCCGCAGUGAAUAGGCCCAAGCGACUGUUUAUCAAAAACACAGGUCUCUGCUAAACCGUAAGGUGAUGUAUAGGGGCUGACGCCUGCCCGGUGCUGGAAGGUUAAGAGGAGUGGUUAGCUUCUGCGAAGCUACGAAUCGAAGCCCCAGUAAACGGCGGCCGUAACUAUAACGGUCCUAAGGUAGCGAAAUUCCUUGUCGGGUAAGUUCCGACCCGCACGAAAGGCGUAACGAUUUGGGCACUGUCUCAACGAGAGACUCGGUGAAAUCAUAGUACCUGUGAAGAUGCAGGUUACCCGCGACAGGACGGAAAGACCCCGUGGAGCUUUACUGUAGCCUGAUAUUGAAAUUCGGCACAGCUUGUACAGGAUAGGUAGGAGCCUUUGAAACGUGAGCGCUAGCUUACGUGGAGGCGCUGGUGGGAUACUACCCUAGCUGUGUUGGCUUUCUAACCCGCACCACUUAUCGUGGUGGGAGACAGUGUCAGGCGGGCAGUUUGACUGGGGCGGUCGCCUCCUAAAAGGUAACGGAGGCGCUCAAAGGUUCCCUCAGAAUGGUUGGAAAUCAUUCAUAGAGUGUAAAGGCAUAAGGGAGCUUGACUGCGAGACCUACAAGUCGAGCAGGGUCGAAAGACGGACUUAGUGAUCCGGUGGUUCCGCAUGGAAGGGCCAUCGCUCAACGGAUAAAAGCUACCCCGGGGAUAACAGGCUUAUCUCCCCCAAGAGUUCACAUCGACGGGGAGGUUUGGCACCUCGAUGUCGGCUCAUCGCAUCCUGGGGCUGUAGUCGGUCCCAAGGGUUGGGCUGUUCGCCCAUUAAAGCGGUACGCGAGCUGGGUUCAGAACGUCGUGAGACAGUUCGGUCCCUAUCCGUCGUGGGCGUAGGAAAUUUGAGAGGAGCUGUCCUUAGUACGAGAGGACCGGGAUGGACAUACCUCUGGUGUACCAGUUGUCGUGCCAACGGCAUAGCUGGGUAGCUAUGUGUGGACGGGAUAAGUGCUGAAAGCAUCUAAGCAUGAAGCCCCCCUCAAGAUGAGAUUUCCCAACUUCGGUUAUAAGAUCCCUCAAAGAUGAUGAGGUUAAUAGGUUCGAGGUGGAAGCAUGGUGACAUGUGGAGCUGACGAAUACUAAUCGAUCGAAGACUUAAUCAA
RNAcentral lists this ribosomal RNA (2781 nucleotides) under Staphylococcus aureus VET1245S. RNAcentral's name for it is "bacterial LSU rRNA". It matches the Rfam family "Bacterial large subunit ribosomal RNA". Lineage: Bacteria; Bacillati; Bacillota; Bacilli; Caryophanales; Staphylococcaceae. The record is from RNAcentral.